RNAcentral lists this long non-coding RNA (794 nucleotides) under Amborella trichopoda. RNAcentral's name for it is "long non-coding RNA (ATRI_LNC001574)". The record is from RNAcentral. Lineage: Eukaryota; Viridiplantae; Streptophyta; Magnoliopsida; Amborellales; Amborellaceae.
GUGGGCACAUGGAUUUCUCUCACCAUUCCAUUUUCAACAAAUAACCCCCACAAAAAGGGUCCCGCAAGACCGCUCUACAAGAUAGCAUUAUUCAGAAGAGAAAACAAUUUGCUUAUUUACAUGCAAGUCAAUAUAAUAUAAAUAGACAAUAUUUCACAUUUCUGUAUGUACAGCAAACCCAGUACCAACUGCUUCGCAAUCAAUACCCUCUUCCACAUGAAUGUGAUCCCACAUGAAUGUGAUCACCAUCUUCAUCGUCAUAUUAAUGCUCUCCUGCAAAAAUAACAAAAAAAUAGAAAAAGAAUGCACAUGAGUAGUACAUGCACCUUCACCAGCUCUCCACAGUUGCUCUCUUUAUUUAAUUUUUCUUUUUCUUUUUCCUUAUUUUUUUUUCAUUCGAUUUGUUUUGGGGUGACCUGUGGACAUGAGAAUACAUACCUGAACAAAAGGGAUCUGCUUAGCAAAAUAUGGAUUAUAUAUGGGGGUGUAUGGCAAAUAAGCAGGCCAAUGAUACCGCUAUCACGGCCAUGACAGCAAGCAUCAGCAGGGGCAUCAGCAGGGGCAGAAAUGUCCUGCUGCCAAUUCCCCCAGAGAGAGAGAGAUGAUGAUGGUGACGGUUGGAGUGCAGUUGGAUUGGGGGAGGGACGUAGAGGAUUAAAAAUGGCAGAAACUCUCAAACUGUUAAUGAGUUUUCAGGCAAUUAAUGGAAAAUCUUCAAUAUUUUCCUUUUACUUUCUAAUGUGGUGAUGUUUUUGACGUAUAUGAAUCAAAACAGAAGUAGAGGACGGACCCUU